UAGUUCUUGUGCUGAUGUGGAAUAUGAAAGGUUUGAUUAUGAAAGUUUAUUCAGGAAAAAUUAUCUGUAGGACAACUUUGAUGCUAUUGAAGAUGAAAGCCAUGCAGGAAAGGACAGAGUUAAUAUUCUAAAACAAUAAUGAACUAAAUCCAGGUAACAUCAUAAACACUUUAAAAGCAUCUCCUUUAAUUUGCACAGCCCCAUAAGACAAUCUUUACUAUCAUUCAGAUUUUACAGAUGAGAAAAUAAAGUCUCUGCAAACUUCAAAAACUUGCUGAAUUUCAGUUAGUGAGAAGCAGAACUGGGAUAAGGACCCGAGAUUAUCUGACUCCAAAGCAUCUGCUCUAAACUAUUUCUUAGGUGGGUUUCUAUGCAUUUUCCCUGUAAAGGCAAUGUUUUCCAAACUGUGAUUCACCAGCUCAGGGGGGCCAUAGGAAAAUUUUGAAUGACCUUGCCAUUAUUUUUCUAAAUCUGUAUGUAAAGUUGAAAACAAAGCCUUUUCAACUCUCACAUCUCAUAAUCCUACCUAUGAUUCUAAGAAUUAAGUAAUGUGCCUUCCCUCAGGGGACCCAAGACCGUAAUGUUAGCUGAGGGAGAAGGAAUGUAGAUGAGUGAACUUUCAAACUGACUAACUUAAAGGUAGCAGCAAUCAGAUGUGAAAACUUGAAAAGUGCCCGAGAAUCAACUGUAUGGACCUUGUCAGUCUAUGUAAACUUUGCACAAUGAAUAUGCGAAUUUCUUACAUAUUCUCAUGCUUAUAUACUUCUAACAGACCUGGAUAUGGCCUCCUGGGAAAAUGCUGGCCUAAGCCUUUCUGCAAAAGUCACCUAUGAGACCAAGAAUUUCCACUGUUUCUGUCCAAAGCAUGGGAUUAAUUAAAGAAAUUCUCACUCCUUGUUUUUUGCUUGAGAAAUUAAUUCUUCCUAUGGGAAAUAUUUUUAAUGCCCUAAAACUAUCUGGACUUCAGGAACUUGAGCUUUGUAUCGUAGCUGCCUUCUGCCCCUAAGGAAUAUAAUCUAUCUAAGCCAUUAAAUUGUUGUGAAUACCAAUAAUAGGACAUUUUUAUGGAGUUCAGGAUAUGAAGCAAAAGCUAUUAGACUGCUCUGUGUGUGUGUGUGUGUGUGUGUGUGUGUGUGUUUGCUCACAUUGAAAAACUAGUUAAACAUUUCAGAUCUCUUUAGAUUUAUACAGGGUUAUUUAUUACAAGGUUCCGAAACUUUCUAGAGGCAGCAAUCUUCUGGUGAUCUUUAUCAAGCUGUUCUUUAUCCUCCUACAGGGCUGCUUGUUUUGUUCUUUCUCCCCCACCCCAGCCCCUGCCCCCCCCCUCUCCUUCUCUUGUUCUUUUUUCUUGAAUUUGGCUUUAACAGGGAAAUAAAAUGUCAACUGUAUGUGAAAAAAAUCCAGUGGUAAAAUUUGCAAGUGGGAAUACAAUUUGAAAGCAAUGCCAAAGUUAUGUUAAGCAGCCAGGUUUUUUUUUAAAUUAAAUUUUUAAAAUUUCUCUGCUAAUUAGGCUGCACAUUUGAAAUCUUAAACAUGUGUAGAAUUGUGAGGGAUCUUGUCUGUUGAGAGGGGCUUAAUUCCAGCAGUGCUUGAUAGCUGAGUGUUGAGUUUUCCAAUGGUCACAAUAGACACCAUCAACACUCAUUAUUUUUUGAGUGCCUUUUUCUAAAUGGCAAUGUGGAAGGAAGAAUUAGAGAAAGUUAGAGCUGCCCUGAACUCAGAUAUCAUCUAUCCCAGGGGUUUUUCAUUUUUUUUUUUUAAGCCCAGGAAACAAAAUAAUAUCCAGAAGUCUGAUGUGUAAAGCAGAUAGACUCGAGCCUCUAUGUGUGUUGGGGUGUUUGUGAGUGUGGGUUCAUGAAUGCCUCAUACUUUUCUGUUAGGACAGAGCAUUGUCUGCCGGCAGUGGGUACACAAAAUUCUUAGGAUUAUAGAUUAAGAGUUCAUAAUCUCAGACUACUCUCCAAUUUUAUUGAGUCAGAACCCAAGUCCCAGAAAGUUGAACUGAAUUGUCCAAGGUCACACUGCUGGAAAGAUGUGGAGAAGGCACUUGACUGCAUUUUCUUAAUUCGAUCUUUCUGUCUCUCUUUCUCUUUCUCUCUUUCUAUCUCUU
This 2110-nucleotide long non-coding RNA is filed under the name Homo sapiens (human). RNAcentral's name for it is "HSALNT0330431". Lineage: Eukaryota; Metazoa; Chordata; Mammalia; Primates; Hominidae. The record is from RNAcentral.